CAGUUAUGCUUAUACUCCUUAUAAAACACCAUGAUCGUUCAUUUUAUCCAUCCAUCAGGAAAUCAUCAAGGCACCAUUACGGGAAGAUAAGGAAUCAAGAACAUGGCAUCAUCUUAUUCAACUUUAACAUUUCCAUGGAUUCCAUACAAUCCGAAAGAUGGAUUGAACUUACGGAACAAUUAAUGUUGGUAAUGAUGAAGACUUGAACAUAGAAACACUUAGCUAUGCAAGUUAUUUUUCAUGUUUUUUUUGAAGUGGAUAUUUCUUAUGUCUUAAAGACACUCUUUAUGUAUCGAGUAUAACUUGAAACUAAUUAUUUGUAUCAAAGUUAGCGAAUGUUGGCUAUACUUUUAUGAUUGGAUACAAUAAUGUAAUUGUUAGUUACAAUUCUCA
Non-coding RNA from Lactuca sativa (garden lettuce), 393 nucleotides. Lineage: Eukaryota; Viridiplantae; Streptophyta; Magnoliopsida; Asterales; Asteraceae. The record is from RefSeq and is a predicted model, not a curated record.